AAUGGAUUAAGUCAAUCAAUAGAUUAAAAACUUUACCAUCUGCUGGUGCUACUGGGAGGUAAUAGAAACAUUCCAAGAUGGGACUAGUCAUUUGGCGUGUGCCAGUGAGAGAUCAUGAGACCCCAAGCUCUGCUCCUGCCAUUUUAUGUUUUGAAUUAGAAAUAUGUUUUGAAUUCUUAUUCCUCAGUGGGUAUCAAUAUUUGAAAAGGACCUGGAUAUGUCUCAAGGUAGCAGUAGAACUUGGCUUCAUUUGUAUGUGCUGGCUUUCCAUGAAUGUAAAAUACAAGAGGAGACUUCCACUAAGGAUUCCAGAGAAAAGGCGGCAGAGUCAGGCAAAGGACACAUUAUUGCUACAUCUGAUAAUUAUUUUAAAAAUGCUACUGAUGCUGCUAUGGAAAUGACAGCUGAAGAGUAGUGGGAGCAGAUCAGCUGAAAAAUAGGUGGGUAUGGCCUUGAAUAUGUGGGCACCCUUCUUUCAAAUGGGCCAUGCUGAGACAUCCCUGGUCACUAUCCCUAUGUCACUAUUCCCUGUGCCUCCCUGGUGCAGCCUUGAAAUUGUAAUAUGAAUAUGAUGGCAAAGAAUCAAUAUUUCCUCACCAUUUUUUUAAAUUACCUAAACUUAUCCAAAAGCAGCAAAAGGAAAAAAAUCAAAAAGAGAAGGUCUAUAUUUUCUGUAAAAUUAGAUCAUUAAAAUCUCAAAUCUCUACCAUUAUACUUUGAUGAUUUGUGUCCCUUCAAAACUCCUGUUGAAACUUAUCUUUAGUGUGAUAGCGGUAAGAGGUGAGCUGUAUGGCAGGUGAUUAGGCC
Molecule: long non-coding RNA, 807 nt
Filed under: Cricetulus griseus (Chinese hamster)
Lineage: Eukaryota; Metazoa; Chordata; Mammalia; Rodentia; Cricetidae
Description: lncRNA (ENSCGRG00015029758.1)
Source: RNAcentral